GAUGAACGCUGGCGGCGUGCUUAACACAUGCAAGUCGAACGGAAAGGCCUCUGCUUGCAGGGGUACUCGAGUGGCGAACGGGUGAGUAACACGUGGGUGAUCUGCCCUGCACUUCGGGAUAAGCCUGGGAAACUGGGUCUAAUACCGGAUAGGACAAUGGUUUGGAUGCUGUUAUGGAAAGUUUUUCGGUGUGGGAUGAGCUCGCGGCCUAUCAGCUUGUUGGUGGGGUAAUGGCCUACCAAGGAGUCGACGGGUAGCCGGCCUGGGAGGGUGGACGGCCACAUUGGGACUGAGAUACGGCCCAGACUGCGACAGGGGGCAGCAGUGGGGAAUAUUGCACAAUGGGCGCAAGCCUGAUGCAGCGACGCCGCGUGGGGGAUGACGGCCUUCGGGUUGUAAACUCCUUUCGCUAGGGACGAAGCGUUUUUGUGACGGUACCUGGAGAAGAAGCACCGGCUAACUACGUG
RNAcentral lists this ribosomal RNA (467 nucleotides) under uncultured bacterium. RNAcentral describes it as "partial 16S ribosomal RNA". It matches the Rfam family "Bacterial small subunit ribosomal RNA", at positions 28 to 507 of the family's 1533-position model. The record is from RNAcentral.